Molecule: ribosomal RNA, 754 nt
Filed under: uncultured bacterium
Lineage: Bacteria
Description: bacterial SSU rRNA
Rfam family: Bacterial small subunit ribosomal RNA
Source: RNAcentral
AGAGUUUGAUCCUGGCUCAGAUUGAACGCUGGCGGCAUGCCUUACACAUGCAAGUCGAACGGCAGCACGGGAGCAAUCCUGGUGGCGAGUGGCGAACGGGUGAGUAAUAUAUCGGAACGUACCUUGGAGUGGGGGAUAACGUAGCGAAAGUUACGCUAAUACCGCAUAUUCUGUGCGCAGGAAAGCAGGGGAUCUUAGGACCUUGUGCUCUUUGAGCGGCCGAUAUCAGAUUAGCUAGUUGGUGAGGUAAAGGCUCACCAAGGCGACGAUCUGUAGCGGGUCUGAGAGGAUGAUCCGCCACACUGGAACUGAGACACGGUCCAGACUCCUACGGGAGGCAGCAGUGGGGAAUUUUGGACAAUGGGGGCAACCCUGAUCCAGCCAUGCCGCGUGAGUGAAGAAGGCCUUCGGGUUGUAAAGCUCUUUCGGCCGGGAAGAAAUCGCAUCGGUUAAUACCCGGUGUGGAUGACGGUACCGGAAUAAGAAGCACCGGCUAACUACGUGCCAGCAGCCGCGGUAAUACGUAGGGUGCGAGCGUUAAUCGGAAUUACUGGGCGUAAAGCGUGCGCAGGCGGUUUGUUAAGAUAGGCGUGAAAUCCCCGGGCUCAACCUGGGAACUGCGCUUAUGACUGGCAGGCUAGAGUACGGCAGAGGGGGGUGGGAUUCCACGUGUAGCAGUGAAAUGCGUAGAGAUGUGGAGGAACACCAAUGGCGAAGGCAGCCCCCUGGGUCGAUACUGACGCUCAUGCACGAA